Molecule: ribosomal RNA, 98 nt
Filed under: Listeria monocytogenes
Lineage: Bacteria; Bacillati; Bacillota; Bacilli; Caryophanales; Listeriaceae
Source: RNAcentral
AAUGUCACACCCGUUCCCAUCCCGAACACGGUAGUUAAGCUUCUCUGCGCCAAUGGUAGUUGGGGGCUUCCCCCUGCGAGAGUAGGUCGCUGCCGGGC